GAUGAACGCUGGCGGCGUGCCUAAUACAUGCAAGUCGAGCGAACGGUCGAGAAGCUUGCUUCUCUGAUGUUAGCGGCGGACGGGUCAUUAACACGUGGAUAACCUAACUAUAAGACUGGGAUAACUUCGCGAAACCUUCGCUACUACCGGAUAAUAUUUUGAACCGCAUGGUUCAAAAGUGAAAGACGGUCUUGCUGUCACUUAUAGAUGGAUCAGAGCUGCAUUAGCUAGUUGGUAAGGUAACGGCUUACCAAGGCAACGAUGCAUAGCCGACCUGAGAGGGUGAUCGGCCACACUGGAAGUGAGCCUCGCUCCCGACCCCGACGGGAGGCAGCAGUAGGGAAUCUUCCGGGAUGGGCGAAAGCCUGACGGAGCAACGCCGCGUGAGGGAUGAAGGUGUUCGGAUCGGAAAACUCUGUUAUUAGGGAAGAACAUAUAUGUAAGUAACUGUGCACAUCAUGACGGUACCUAAACAGAAAGCCACGGCUAACUACGUG
Molecule: ribosomal RNA, 497 nt
Filed under: uncultured bacterium
Lineage: Bacteria
Description: partial 16S ribosomal RNA
Rfam family: Bacterial small subunit ribosomal RNA
Source: RNAcentral